ACACGCUACAAUGGUCUGUACAAUUGGUUGCCGAAGCCGCGAGGCGGAGCCAAUCCGUAAAGCAGGCCUCAGUUCAGAUUGCAGUCUGCAACUCGACUGCAUGAAGCCGGAGUUGCUAGUAACCGCAGGUCAGCAAUACUGCGGUGAAUACGUUCCCGGGUCUU
Molecule: ribosomal RNA, 164 nt
Filed under: uncultured Anaerolineaceae bacterium
Lineage: Bacteria; Bacillati; Chloroflexota; Anaerolineae; Anaerolineales; Anaerolineaceae
Description: partial 16S ribosomal RNA
Rfam family: Bacterial small subunit ribosomal RNA
Source: RNAcentral